UACGGAGGGUGCAAGCGUUAAUCGGAAUUACUGGGCGUAAAGGGUGCGUAGGUGGUUUGGUAAGUUAUCUGUGAAAUCCCCAGGCUUAACCUGGGAACUGCGUCGGAUACUGGAUGGCUUGAAUUCGGGAGAGGGAUGCAGAAUUCCAGGUGUAGCGGUGAAAUGCGUAGAUAUCUGGAGGAAUACCGGUGGCGAAGGCGGCAUCCUGGACCGAGAUUGACGCUGAACGGCGAAAGCUAGGGGAGCAAACGGG
Molecule: ribosomal RNA, 253 nt
Filed under: uncultured bacterium
Lineage: Bacteria
Description: partial 16S ribosomal RNA
Rfam family: Bacterial small subunit ribosomal RNA
Source: RNAcentral